Molecule: small nucleolar RNA, 138 nt
Organism: Tachyglossus aculeatus (Australian echidna)
Lineage: Eukaryota; Metazoa; Chordata; Mammalia; Monotremata; Tachyglossidae
Source: RefSeq, a predicted model, not a curated record
GCCCUCUCAGGGUCGCACCGCGAGAGUUUCCAGAACUCUUCCAGUCUUGACUACAGGAGGGAGAGUCAAGCAUAGGCCUACCCAUUCCAUUCCUAGCUUGGCCAGUGGCUAGUGAGUGGAAGGCAAUGUGCUGCAAGU